This 81-nucleotide transfer RNA is filed under the name Candidatus Coprovivens excrementavium. RNAcentral describes it as "tRNA-OTHER". It matches the Rfam family "tRNA". Rfam says of the family: Transfer RNA (tRNA) molecules are approximately 80 nucleotides in length. Their secondary structure includes four short double-helical elements and three loops (D, anti-codon, and T loops). The record is from RNAcentral. Lineage: Bacteria; Bacillati; Bacillota; Bacilli.
AGAGGUGUAACCAAGUGGUAUAAGGCAAGGGAGUGCACAUAAUUACAAGUCCUAUCACAGGUUCGAAUCCUGUCACCUCUU